AUAAGGAGAAAGUAAGAAUAUUUCUGCUUUCCUACGCGGUCAAAGUCUUGGGAGGAUGUGACCUGGGCGCGGUUUUCCGCAGCCGCCACGCAAGUGGAUUUGGUCAGACGCGAUCUUCAAAAUGCAGGGUGAAAGCCUUGCAUUUUUUU
This 149-nucleotide small RNA is filed under the name Phyllobacterium trifolii. RNAcentral describes it as "sRNA ar9". It matches the Rfam family "Alphaproteobacterial sRNA ar9". Lineage: Bacteria; Pseudomonadati; Pseudomonadota; Alphaproteobacteria; Hyphomicrobiales; Phyllobacteriaceae. The record is from RNAcentral.